CCAGAAGGUAUCCUUCUGGCAAGGGUACUGUACUAAACUAACUAAAGUGGGGGAUAGUGAGGGGAUAAAUUUUCUUAAGGAACUCGGCAAAAUCCCAAUGGCCCACCAGGGCAUAUUGGAACACGGGCCUCGACUGUUUACCAAAAACAUAGCCCUCGGCUAAUAUGAAAAUAGAUGUAUAGAGGGUGAUGCCUGCCCAAUGGUUGUAUCUAAAAGCGGUUGAUAAAAGUUGACCUCGUAAGGACAAUUGAAUGGCCGCGGUAACACUGACCGUGAUAAUGUAGCGUAAUCAAUAGCCAAUUAAUUGUUGGCCAGUAUGAAUGGCGCCACGAAGGCCCCACUGUCUUAAGGAAAUUCCCAGUGAAAUUGAAUUCGUAGUGAAGAUGCUACGUCCAAUUUGUUAGACGAAAAGACCCCGUUGAGCUUUACUGGAGCACUUACAUGGCCCCGGCCUUCCCAUGCCUGGGAACCGGCCGAAUUUAAAUGGGCGGCUUAGAUUAUGUGGCAGCCCCCCGCUGGGGCAAAUGAAACACCACUCCCCCAUGUCAAAGGGGCUAACCCCCCCCCUUGGGGGGACAGUGUAAGUAGGACAGUUUGGUUGGGGCGACCACCUUUUAAAAAGUAACGAAGGUGCGCUUAAGGUGCGCAAUUAAUGACUGAAGCCUGACUGCGAGGGGGACACCCCGAGCAGACACCCCAAAGCCCGCCCGAAAGGCGGC
Molecule: ribosomal RNA, 719 nt
Filed under: Zoanthus aff. pulchellus SGB-2022
Lineage: Eukaryota; Metazoa; Cnidaria; Anthozoa; Zoantharia; Zoanthidae
Description: partial large subunit ribosomal RNA
Rfam family: Bacterial large subunit ribosomal RNA
Source: RNAcentral